Molecule: long non-coding RNA, 1301 nt
Filed under: Gallus gallus (chicken)
Lineage: Eukaryota; Metazoa; Chordata; Aves; Galliformes; Phasianidae
Description: lncRNA (ENSGALG00000053427.1)
Source: RNAcentral
AAGAAAAUGGAAGCAGGAAAGGAGUUUGGCAGUGGAGUUAUGUGGCCAGUGACAGAGCAAAAGAAGUGCAGUUCUGCCUGUUGUUAAGCCAUUCUUACAACUCCAAGGAAAUCUAAGGCUUACACAGUCUGUCACGGUGGAAAAUAUCUCCUAGCAUCAAGGGAAGACUUACUUGAAGAAUCACAAGAUGCUUCUAUCAUGUGCUAUACAGCCAAGCUGGAUGUGAACUUGCAUGAGAAAUUUCACAGCUUGGUUUACAAAUAUUCAGAAGGAAAGAUGUGAGCAGGAACCAGAAGAUGUAAGCUGUUGGAUGUAGCCUUUCCAGGCUGUAGCUGGCAGGUCCAGCAUCUCUGCUGAAGCUUCCCAUGGCACCUUGGCCAAGACAAGCAGAAGCACAACCCAUAGCCAGUGGGACACUGCCGUGCAUAAAUACCCAAGUACCUUGCCAGAAGCUAAGUAGAAAAUAAAAUUUUGGUGCAGAUGAUACUUGAAAAAUUGAGAAAUAGAUAUAGAAUACAGGAAGGAGAACAGAACAAAGCUGGGGGAAGUAAGGAAUAUAAAAGGAAAGGAAGUUGGUAAAGGAGGGAAAAAGGAAGUAUGGAAGAUUUAAUCCAGUCAAUUAGCAUUCAGUUCAAGGGCUUUGAACAGGACAUGCUCAUAGCACCACAGAGAAUAGCAGUGCACCAUAAAGAAUAAGGAUUUUCUAGCAUGUGAUAUAGAUCCAUUGUUAAUAAAGCUGAUGAGGAAUUUGCAAGGAAAGAAUAUCACAGGCUGUUAUCUGACAGAACUACAAUGUGUCUACUGAGAAAUCUAACCCAGCAGCAGUGUCAAAGAGAAUGACUGGCUGAGAUAAAAAACGUUAAGAUUUUGAAACCUAAUAAGGGAUUUGAAGUGAUGCAAUAUGAGGUCUCUUAAAAUUUAUAAAUACAAUAUUGUAUCAAACCUACUGUUGAAAAUAGUUAAGCAUGUGAACAUCAAACCCAAUAAAAUGCAUAGUGAUCCCUUUCUGUUGCUCUGAUCACUUUCCUCUGCUUCUUUGGCCCACUGUGGCCCAGGUUUGGUAAAUUCUAAGUCAGGCUGGACUGUCAAACCCAUUCUUCAAACCAGGCCAAUGGAAAAGGGAAGUACUUGUUGCAGAGGAUUUCAGGACAGGCUGUUAUUUGGUCCUAAACUACAAUUAAAACUUUAUGUUGCCUCAUCUGUCUUACAGAUGCCUGGUCUUUGUCUAAUCCAAGCUGUAGAACUUGACCCUAGGGAAGCUGUGUUUGAACAAUAAAGAUAUUCAAGUCAGCCAGAUCUUG